Non-coding RNA from Mycena leptocephala, 98 nucleotides. NCBI's taxonomy places the organism in Eukaryota, Fungi, Basidiomycota, Agaricomycetes, Agaricales, Mycenaceae. The record is from the annotation of a GenBank genome assembly.
GACCUGAUAGCAAGGGGUGUGCAUCUGCCUAUAUGUUGCAUAAUGUCGCGAGUUGAGUGUAUUAACAGAGGGUCCCCGUUCGACUCGGGGUCAGGUCA